This 24-nucleotide non-coding RNA is filed under the name Arabidopsis thaliana (thale cress). Lineage: Eukaryota; Viridiplantae; Streptophyta; Magnoliopsida; Brassicales; Brassicaceae. The record is from RNAcentral.
ACCACUCAACGACCAUCUCCUCGC